This 253-nucleotide ribosomal RNA is filed under the name uncultured bacterium. RNAcentral's name for it is "partial 16S ribosomal RNA". It matches the Rfam family "Bacterial small subunit ribosomal RNA", at positions 524 to 776 of the family's 1533-position model. The record is from RNAcentral.
UACGAAGGGGGCUAGCGUUGUUCGGAAUUACUGGGCGUAAAGGGCGCGUAGGCGGCCUCGUCCGUCCGGCGUGAAAUGCCUGGGCUCAACCUAGGAAUUGCGCUCGAUACAGCGAGGCUAGAGUGUGGGAGAGGUUAGUGGAAUUCCCAGUGUAGAGGUGAAAUUCGUAGAUAUUGGGAAGAACACCGGUGGCGAAGGCGGCCAACUGGACCACAACUGACGCUGAGGCGCGAAAGCGUGGGGAGCAAACAGG